AAUGAGAUAUGCUUGUGUCGUGGGUUGGGAUUUAGCUGUAAAGCUAUGGAGUGCUAAAAAUCAGCUGCAAAUCUAAACAAAGGACCAACAUUACAUUACUGCGACUUGACUUUACCACGUUUUGUAAUGCUGAUUUCACACUUGCCCACUCUCCGUAUUUGAUAUCCAAGUGUUUGUAACUAGCCCGUUGUACGGAUGACCAGAAAUUGUCUGGUUCGAUUUGAAUUCAAAACGAAAUGGGUCCUGGCCUUUUAACUUCGAGCUGAUGGAUUGGGCUGGGUCCUUAAAGAUAAAGUGGAGUAGACUCAAAAUAUGUUAGGUCGACUAGCCAUAUUAGAAUAGCUACUUUUAUGUUUUCUCUUUGUGUGUAUUAGCUGCUAGGUUCUUGAUUUUUGAAGUUUCUUGGAGAUUUGAAGUGGGCUUUCUUGGCUGAUUGUGUUGCUUAUCUUGGUUUUUCGGGUGAGAUUUGAUCUUUUUGGUGUUUGGUUUCUGGGGUCUUUUGAAAGUUUGACUUUGGGGGUUUAAAGAGUGUGGGAUGAUCGUUGAAGCUGCUGAGACUUAAACUUCAUCUUAUAACGUCCUGGAUGAGAGAACAACGCACAAGCCGUGAAGAACCUCAGGCACAAAAUGGACUCUCACGUCUCCAGCUCUCUCAAAAUCGCUAAACAAGUCAAAUCAAAUCUCCAGGCUCUCUUUGUACAUUCGUUCUUAUAAAACCUGUGAACUGAACUCUUGUGUCAGCGGAAUUCACUGAUCUCAUCUGUUCAUGGGUAUGUCUCUUCUUGAUUUUUGAUAUUUCUUACGUGAACAAUAUGAUAUGGUAUGCCCUUCUAUUACAAUUAUUUACAAUAUUCUUUCUUUUUCUCAUGAUUUUGAGUGGAAUUGCGAGAGGUGUUGAUUUUAAUCUUGUUUGUUUGUUUGUUUAAUCCAUGUGUUUUGUUUGGUUUUUGGUGUUUUUGGCGAUUUUUCAUGUUACAUGUGAUACGCUUCGUUGUUCGCUUCGCAUACGACGAGACAACUUGAUCAACUUGAUCGAUAGCAUAGCGGUGGUGGCAGAUGGUGGCGGUGACGACGGUUUCAGAAAGGAAUGUGCGCUAAUUGUGCCUUAAUUGAAGGCGGAUUCUUGGAAGAAGGCCGGUUUUCUUUUCGGACAUUAAAGUUUUAUUGUCUAAAUUUCCCCGGUCAUCUUGCAUGUCCGACGGUUAGAUAAUAAGCUUUCUUGAAUGAAAGAAUUAUCACGGUGAAUUGCCGAUUCUCGUUGA
This is a long non-coding RNA of Daucus carota subsp. sativus, 1262 nucleotides long. RefSeq lists it as uncharacterized. The transcript has 2 exons. The record is from RefSeq and is a predicted model, not a curated record. Lineage: Eukaryota; Viridiplantae; Streptophyta; Magnoliopsida; Apiales; Apiaceae.